UUAAUUGUAACACUAACUUUAUUUAAGUCAACAUAUCCAAAGUAUUAUCAUUUCAAUGUGUAAACUAUAUAAAAAUUAUUAAUGAGAUAUUAUAAUCUUUUCUUCAUACUAAGUCUGAAGUUGGUGUGCAUUUUCAGUUUCAGUGCAUCUCAUUUUGGCCUAACCACAUUUUAAGAGCUCAGUAGCCUCAUGUGACUAGUGGCUACUGUGUUGGACAGCAUAGCGUUAGAUAAUUCUCCAAGCUGAAGAGAGAGGUCAAAUAAGAGAGCGACAGUGGCUCCAAGAUACAGCUGGGGUGCCAGGGUGGGGGGUCGGCGAGGAGUCACAAUGACUCAUAGAAUGUCCAGGGAGUUUUGGGGAUCUGAGAGCACAGGAACCUGUGCUCACGUCUCAGGUGGGGCCAGGGUGAACAGGGGAGGGUAGAAGUGGCAACUAGAUGCGUCUAGGACAGCGCCCCACGUCUGCCACAUCCCCCCAAGUCUCCAGAGUGGCACAGGGGAACAUCCAACAGUUCCCCAGUCCCUAAGAGGAGUGAGGACGUGGCUCAGGAAGAAUCGUCACCAUCAGAAUAGGCCGCUGCAAGUGCAGGACUGAUGAUCCGAGUCGAUGGGAAUGUGGACACAGCAGUGAACGCCAGCCUAGAGGGGCGCUGAUGGCCAAAGACCUGACGCUUCACAUCAUGUCUCCUAAACUUCAGUGCCACUCUGGGGAGAUGAGAGGGAAAGGAGAAGUUCUGAAUUCAUAGUUUACCUGAAAUGAUGAAAAAACCCAGAGAUGAGGAAACUGAGGCCAAGAGAGUUUGGGCAACCUGUCGAAAAUCACACAGUGCUAGAAUUAUGAAUAAAACUCAAGUCUCUUAACUAUCAAUCCAAUGUCCUUUUAGUGCCUUUAUAUAAAACUUAAACGGCAGUACAACAUACUGCUGCUUUAAAAAAAGAAAAUUCCACUGCCAGCCCAGUGGCAUAGUGAUUAGGUUCCCACACUCCACUUCAGCGGCCUGGGUUUCAUGGGUUCAGAUCCCUGGCGCAGACCUGGCAGCAUUCAUCAGGCCACGCUGUGGCGGCAUCCCACAUAAAGUAGAGGAAGAUUGCCUCAGAUGUAGGCUCAGUGACAAUCUUCCUCAAGCAAAAAGAGGAAGAUGGGCAACAGAUGUUAGCUCAGGGCCAAUCUUGCUCACACACACACACAAAAAAG
RNAcentral lists this long non-coding RNA (1194 nucleotides) under Equus asinus (donkey). Its description in RNAcentral is "lncRNA (ENSEASG00005025645.1)". The record is from RNAcentral. Lineage: Eukaryota; Metazoa; Chordata; Mammalia; Perissodactyla; Equidae.